This 460-nucleotide ribosomal RNA is filed under the name uncultured bacterium. Its description in RNAcentral is "partial 16S ribosomal RNA". It matches the Rfam family "Bacterial small subunit ribosomal RNA", at positions 338 to 795 of the family's 1533-position model. The record is from RNAcentral.
CCUACGGGAGGCUGCAGUGAGGAAUAUUGGUCAAUGGACGAGAGUCUGAACCAGCCAAGUAGCGUGAAGGAUGACUGCCCUAUGGGUUGUAAACUUCUUUUAUAUGGGAAUAAAAUGUUCCACGUGUGGGAUUUUGUAUGUACCAUAUGAAUAAGGAUCGGCUAACUCCGUGCCAGCAGCCGCGGUAAUACGGAGGAUCCGAGCGUUAUCCGGAUUUAUUGGGUUUAAAGGGAGCGUAGGUGGAUGGUUAAGUCAGUUGUGAAAGUUUUCGGCUCAACCGUAAAAUUGCAGUUGAAACUGGCAGUCUUGAGUACAGUAGAGGUGGGCGGAAUUCGUGGUGUAGCGGUGAAAUGCUUAGAUAUCACGAAGAACUCCGAUUGCGAAGGCAGUUCACUGGACUGCAACUGACACUGAGGCUCGAAAGUGUGGGUAUCAAACAGGAUUAGAUACCCGAGUAGUC